AUGACCAACGUCCACCGCCUCUCCCCUGAUGCCUACACCUUCAACAUACUCAUCAACAGCUCCUGCCGUGUCGAAGGCGUCGAUGCCGCCAUGCGGUGGUUCGAGGAGAUGCAGCGCCGGAGCUGUGCGCCGACUGGUGUGAGCUUCAAUACUCUUAUGCGCGGGUUCUUCAGAGAAGGAAGGUACAAGGAAGGCCUUAAGGUUGCUCACGAGAUGCUGCAGCUUGGAGCCGGGCUGUCGGUUGCUUCCAUGGAGAUUUUGAUAGGUGGGUUGUGCGGUGGAGGCGACGCUUUGAAGGCAUCAGAGGUGUUUGCAGAGUUUUUGGUGGAUGCGGUGGUGCCGGAAGGGUUUGAUUGCUUGGAUCUGGUUGAAUCCCUAUGCCAUGUUGGAAGGGUGGACAAAGCAGUGGAAAUAGUGGAGAUGGUAUUGGAGAGGAACGGGGUAUGCUGCUUAAGUGUCCCUGCUGGCAUAACAGUUCUGGAUUGCUUGAUGAAGGCGGGGAAGCUGGAUGAUGUGUGCCGAUUGAUGGGAAGGAUGGUUGGGGAGGGGAUUGUACCAGAUACCAUAUCUUGUAACUGUAUCUUCGAGGCACUUUGUGAAGCUGGCACUUCUGAUGCAAACAAGCUGAGGAUUCUGGCUAAGGAGGAGGGUUUUCAGGCUGAUGGUGUGACUUAUAGCAUGUUGGUGCAGGGGUUUGGUAGGCAAGGAAGGGUGAAGGAAGGCGAGGCUGUGUUGGAUGAAAUGCUUGAUUUAGGGUUUAUACCUAACAUUGUGGCUUACAAUAGGCUUCUUGAUAGCUUGCACGUGCGGAGAUCUUUGCAAUAA
Molecule: ribosomal RNA, 825 nt
Filed under: Triticum aestivum (bread wheat)
Lineage: Eukaryota; Viridiplantae; Streptophyta; Magnoliopsida; Poales; Poaceae
Description: partial small subunit ribosomal RNA
Source: RNAcentral